RNAcentral lists this non-coding RNA (106 nucleotides) under uncultured Geminigera. The record is from RNAcentral. Lineage: Eukaryota; Cryptophyceae; Pyrenomonadales; Geminigeraceae.
UUGAAACACACACAUGCAAAAAGAAAGACUCAAAUUACAGUGUAGUAAGUAUAGAACAAAAUAGCACACGUUUAAAUGGUUAGGUUUUAGUGCAUCGCUAUUUAGU